RNAcentral lists this ribosomal RNA (276 nucleotides) under uncultured actinomycete. Its description in RNAcentral is "partial 16S rRNA". It matches the Rfam family "Bacterial small subunit ribosomal RNA", at positions 222 to 510 of the family's 1533-position model. Lineage: Bacteria; Bacillati; Actinomycetota; Actinomycetes; Actinomycetales. The record is from RNAcentral.
UGGAUGAGCCCGCGGCCUAUCAGCUUGUUGGUGGGGUAAUGGCCUACCAAGGCGACGACGGGUAGCCGGCCUGAGAGGGUGACCGGCCACACUGGGACUGAGACACGGCCCAGACUCCUACGGGAGGCAGCAGUGGGGAAUAUUGCACAAUGGGCGCAAGCCUGAUGCAGCGACGCCGCGUGAGGGAUGACGGCCUUCGGGUUGUAAACCUCUUUCUGCUCACACGAAGCGCAAGUGACGAAACCUCAGUAUAGUACCCCGGCCUAACCCAAGAUA